GCUUAGCAUGAAGUGAAGCACAUACACCUGCUGAGUUUAAGCAUAUAAGUAAGUGGUGGAAAUUAAACCAAAUGGGAUAUCUUUAGUAAUUACGACUGAACAAGGAUAUGCUUAGCUUGACAAAUGGAGCUAUUGGCUUUGAAUUGUAUUGUGGAAAUGUAUUACCAACAGAGGUGCAGGUGCCAGCAUAUUGAAAUAAAGCGUCAAUGAGGUUGAGAAUCCUGUUUGCCAUGUGCAGCCCUUUGUGCACGGUGUAUAUUUGCUGAGUCACACGCAUUGGCAUUGGAAUGCAAAGUGGGUGGUAAGUUUCAUGUAAAGGUAAACAUGCAAUUGAGACUGAUAGCACACAAGUACCAUGAGGGAAAUAUGAAAAGGACUUUGAAAAGAGAAUUAAAUGAGUUUGUAUUUGCUGAACACAAAGUAAACAGACUUGAUUUGCUUGGUGGGAGUGUUGCACUUGCUUGACAAGAGCUUUGGGCUGUGGGUGUAAUGAUUCUUUCUUUGCAUGCCAGUUUCUAUUUGUACAUCUGAUUACCUUUGCACAUGAAUGAUAAGUCUCCUGUGGGGGGUGGAUUGCAUGUGCAUGUAAUGAUUUGUGUUUUGAUACAUGUGUCUGGUGUAUGUGUGUGUGUUCCUGUGCUUGGGGAUGCUUCCUUCCUUGGACUUACAAGCCCUGACACACACAUGCUGGCAAAAUGCUUCUGCUUGACCCGUCUUGAAACACGGACCAAGGAGUCUAACAGAUGUGCAAAGUUUGAAGGUGGUAUACCUUUGUGUGCAAUGAAAGUGUCAGCUGGGAUAUGUGCACCAGC
RNAcentral lists this ribosomal RNA (812 nucleotides) under Alexandrium tamarense. RNAcentral describes it as "LSU rRNA". It matches the Rfam family "Eukaryotic large subunit ribosomal RNA", at positions 1 to 762 of the family's 3401-position model. The record is from RNAcentral. Lineage: Eukaryota; Dinophyceae; Gonyaulacales; Pyrocystaceae.